Molecule: ribosomal RNA, 820 nt
Filed under: uncultured Burkholderiales bacterium
Lineage: Bacteria; Pseudomonadati; Pseudomonadota; Betaproteobacteria; Burkholderiales
Description: SSU rRNA
Rfam family: Bacterial small subunit ribosomal RNA
Source: RNAcentral
CAUGCAAGUCGAACGGCAGCACGGAGCUUGCUCUGGUGGCGAGUGGCGAACGGGUGAGUAAUAUAUCGGAACGUACCCUAGAGUGGGGGAUAACGUAGCGAAAGUUACGCUAAUACCGCAUACGAUCUAAGGAUGAAAGUGGGGGAUCGCAAGACCUCAUGCUCGUGGAGCGGCCGAUAUCUGAUUAGCUAGUUGGUAGGGUAAAAGCCUACCAAGGCAUCGAUCAGUAGCUGGUCUGAGAGGACGACCAGCCACACUGGAACUGAGACACGGUCCAGACUCCUACGGGAGGCAGCAGUGGGGAAUUUUGGACAAUGGGCGAAAGCCUGAUCCAGCAAUGCCGCGUGAGUGAAGAAGGCCUUCGGGUUGUAAAGCUCUUUUGUCAGGGAAGAAACGGUGAGAGCUAAUAUCUCUUGCUAAUGACGGUACCUGAAGAAUAAGCACCGGCUAACUACGUGCCAGCAGCCGCGGUAAUACGUAGGGUGCAAGCGUUAAUCGGAAUUACUGGGCGUAAAGCGUGCGCAGGCGGUUUUGUAAGUCUGAUGUGAAAUCCCCGGGCUCAACCUGGGAAUUGCAUUGGAGACUGCAAGGCUAGAAUCUGGCAGAGGGGGGUAGAAUUCCACGUGUAGCAGUGAAAUGCGUAGAUAUGUGGAGGAACACCGAUGGCGAAGGCAGCCCCCUGGGUCAAGAUUGACGCUCAUGCACGAAAGCGUGGGGAGCAAACAGGAUUAGAUACCCUGGUAGUCCACGCCCUAAACGAUGUCUACUAGUUGUCGGGUCUUAAUUGACUUGGUAACGCAGCUAACGCGUGAAGUAGACC